Molecule: ribosomal RNA, 505 nt
Filed under: uncultured bacterium
Lineage: Bacteria
Description: partial 16S ribosomal RNA
Rfam family: Bacterial small subunit ribosomal RNA
Source: RNAcentral
GACGAACGCUGGCGGCGUGCCUAAUACAUGCAAGUAGAACGCACAGUUUAUACCGUAGCUUGCUACACCAUAAACUGUGAGUUGCGAACGGGUGAGUAACGCGUAGGUAACCUGCCUGGUAGCGGGGGAUAACUAUUGGAAACGAUAGCUAAUACCGCAUAAUAUUGAUUAUUGCAUGAUAAUUGAUUGAAAGAUGCUAUUGCAUCACUACCAGAUGGACCUGCGUUGUAUUAGCUAGUUGGUGAGGUAACGGCUCACCUAGGCGACGAUACAUAGCCGACCUGAGAGGGUGAUCGGCCACACUGGGACUGAGACACGGCCCAGACUCCUACGGGAGGCAGCAGUAGGGAAUCUUCGGCAAUGGACGAAAGUCUGACCGAGCAACGCCGCGGGAGUGAAGAAGGUUUUCGGAUCGUAAAGCUCUGUUGUAAGAGAAGAACGGGUGUGAGAGUGGAAAGUUCACACUGUGACGGUAGCUUACCAGAAAGGGACGGCUAACUACGUG